This 343-nucleotide unclassified non-coding RNA is filed under the name soil metagenome. Its description in RNAcentral is "partial contains 5.8S ribosomal RNA, internal transcribed spacer 2, and large subunit ribosomal RNA". The stretch from base 1 to 120 matches the Rfam family "5.8S ribosomal RNA", at positions 35 to 154 of the family's 154-position model. The record is from RNAcentral.
GAUGAAGAACGCAGCGAAAUGCGAUAAGUAAUGUGAAUUGCAGAAUUCAGUGAAUCAUCGAAUCUUUGAACGCACAUUGCGCCCGCCAGCAUUCUGGCGGGCAUGCCUGUUCGAGCAUCAUUUCAACCCUCGACUUCCCUUUGGGGAAAUCGGCGUUGGGGACCGGCUGUAUACCGCCGGCCCCGAAAUGAAGUGGCGGCCCGUCCGCGGCGACCUCUGCGUAGUAAUCCAACUCGCACCGGAACCCCGACGUGGCCACGCCGUAAAACCCCCGACUUCUGAACGUUGACCUCGGAUCAGGUAGGAAUACCCGCUGAACUUAAGCAUAUCAAUAAGCGGAGGA